UUGAUCCUGGCUCAGAUUGAACGCUGGCGGCAGGCCUAACACAUGCAAGUCGAGCGGAUGAGUGGAGCUUGCUCCAUGAUUCAGCGGCGGACGGGUGAGUAAUGCCUAGGAAUCUGCCUGGUAGUGGGGGACAACGUUUCGAAAGGAACGCUAAUACCGCAUACGUCCUACGGGAGAAAGCAGGGGACCUUCGGGCCUUGCGCUAUCAGAUGAGCNUAGGUCGGAUUAGCUAGUUGGUGAGGUAAAGGCUCACCAAGGCGACGAUCCGUAACUGGUCUGAGAGGAUGAUCAGUCACACUGGAACUGAGACACGGUCCAGACUCCUACGGGAGGCAGCAGUGGGGAAUAUUGGACAAUGGGCGAAAGCCUGAUCCAGCCAUGCCGCGUGUGUGAAGAAGGUCUUCGGAUUGUAAAGCACUUUAAGUUGGGAGGAAGGGCAGUAAGUUAAUACCUUGCUGUUUUGACGUUACCGACAG
RNAcentral lists this ribosomal RNA (476 nucleotides) under Aquipseudomonas alcaligenes. RNAcentral describes it as "bacterial SSU rRNA". It matches the Rfam family "Bacterial small subunit ribosomal RNA", at positions 13 to 484 of the family's 1533-position model. Lineage: Bacteria; Pseudomonadati; Pseudomonadota; Gammaproteobacteria; Pseudomonadales; Pseudomonadaceae. The record is from RNAcentral.